GUCAUGCUAGUUUAUACAGAACCCCUAACUUGCACUUAGGAAGUGGGACGUCGAGCCCCGCACGACA
This 67-nucleotide transfer RNA is filed under the name Sipunculus nudus (marine worm). RNAcentral describes it as "tRNA-Ala". The record is from RNAcentral. Lineage: Eukaryota; Metazoa; Annelida; Sipuncula; Golfingiida; Sipunculidae.